Molecule: long non-coding RNA, 495 nt
Filed under: Mustela putorius furo (domestic ferret)
Lineage: Eukaryota; Metazoa; Chordata; Mammalia; Carnivora; Mustelidae
Description: lncRNA (ENSMPUG00000030135.1)
Source: RNAcentral
GGUCUCUCUUGCAGAAGAGUUUGAGGGUGCUCUCUUUGUGGUAGGAAGAAUAAAUUGGAUAUUUAGUAAGCUGCCCAAUUGUGGUGGAGACUCCUAGGUGUUCACCAAAACCUCUUUCCUUUUUUCAUGGCUGAACAAGGAUGCUGAGGAUCUAUCUGCAUGAAGGAAGAGCUACAUGAUGGAAAGAGCCUGGAUUACUAAAUAAUUGAAUUACAUGAGCAAGAAAUCAUCUUCCACUGUGUUACAUUAUUGAGAUUUGGAGAGAGUGCACAAGUGGGUGGAGGGGCAGAAGGAGAUGGAGAAGUGCACACCCCACUGAGCAGAGAGCCUGACAGAGGGCUUGAUCCCAGGACCUGGAGACCAUGACCUGAGCUGAAGGCAAAUGCUUAACUGACUGAGCGACCCAGGUGCCCUGCUUUUUUUUUAAUCUAAAAAUGAUAUAUUGAAAACUUUUGUUUUGGGAUGGUUGGAAUCAAAAUAAAUGUGAAAGCCCCU